UCAAAAAAUAACCCACUUUCAUACCAAAACACACUUAAACCAACAUAAAACUGUGUUUUUUCUGAGUUUUUCUUAGCGGAAGUUGGUUUUUGCUAAUAAAAGUGAGUUUUAUGUGCGCUAAACUGUGCUUAACUGAGUUUAAAGUUGGUUAUUUUAAGAAGAUGUGUGUUUAAGCGAGUUUUUUUCAGUAAGAAGUCGGUUUUUUGUGUGUCAAAAGUGAGCCUUUUUAUUUAUGAGUUGGUUUAUGUGUGUUUAAGUGUGUCUUUUUGUUUUAUAAGCGAGUCUUUUACAACAGAAGUUGGUCUUUUUUUAAACAGAAGUGGGUUUAAGCGAGUUUAACUUGGUCUUUUUGUAAAUAAGUUGAGAGCUGCAACGAGGCUUAAAGACUCACUUUAACACACUUUUCAACAAGUUGGUCUUUUGUUUAUUAAUAUAAGUCAUCAAUGAAACAAUAAUUCUUCAACUGGGUCUUUGUUUGAUGUUUAUAGCCAUAAAUAAAACAAGUCAAUUGUAAAGGGGCUUUUUUUACAGCUUGUUUGCCAUUGUCCCUAUUGUACAUUUGUGUGCUCCCCAUAAUUUUUAGGGAAUAUUGGAUGAAAAUGGCUCUUUCAGAACAUCACAGGUUCACAGAUGGACAACAAGUAUCACUGACAAAAACUAACAAUGGUCAAGCUUAGUUUUAUACAUGAAAAUGAAAGAGUUUGUGUUUCACUUUGAAUUUUUUCUUUAUGUUUGUUUUUAUUAUAAACAAUAUCUUAUGAUUGUUUUAUGUCUUAAUUUUUUAUUUUUUUUUAAACAAUCUCAUAUGAUUGUUUAUAUUUGUUUAAAACAGUAUUUACUUGUAAAAUCUGCAUAUUUAAAUAAUUAUGGUAUUGGAAACAUUAUUUUGGAAAUAAUCUAUUUAUUUUUGUACAUAAGUUAUGCAAGAUUUUGAUAUUUGCAUAUGAUACCAUCAUAUCCAUUUUCUUAAUUUGGAAUAAAAUAAUAAAAUGCCAAACAUUACCUGUGUUACAUAAACUGUCAACAAAAUAACAAGACAAUACCUUAAAACACCCUUAUUUCACACCACUAACAAUAAACAGAUAACAAUCUGUCAGGCAUUCAGAGCUAAACAGGGUACUGAUUAUCUAGGGGUAGAUAAGGCUACUGAUGGGGUCCUAGAGAUAAGGCUGUGUGGAAUAAGAUAUAAGGCUUUUGAUUGGCUAUUGCACUGAGGAAGUUAUCUUUUUGAAAACAACAACUUUUGAAAAACAAGCUGGUGUCAGCAACUGAAUAUUGAGCUAAAUUUAAUUCAGCAACAUUAAUAUAAAGAAGUGAAAGACUUAUAAUGGUAGUGUAAAAUGUCUUGAAAUUCUGUCAGCAUGAAGUAUUGUGUGAUGAAAACAAUGUGUUUUUUACUGCAAUGUGGAAAUCAAUAAUAAGUUGGUUGGAAAGGAGGUUGAACUGCCUGUUGUUGUUUUUGGAAUACUGAAGAACAGUUUUAACAGGUUAAACUCUUGCCACAAGGCAAAAUUGACAUCGUUGGGAAGAUCCUUUGGAAAGAAUGUGCAUCAUCGCCUGCCUGAUGUAUGGACUUUUAAACCUGGUUUUUACCCUGCACAAGCUGGCAAACUUGAGGGGAACAAGAGUGGGAAAACCUCGCCCUGUCCUUGACCAAGAAAGCUCGAUUUGUUGAGAGAUCAACUGGCAUAAGAGAUGCUCAAGAGGAGAAGGACACAAGCAGCAUCAAUGGAACAACUACAUGUCGCUCCAGCGCCCGCUUUCCAGGUCUCUACCAGCUGCUUUCCAGGUCCCUCCACCCGCCAAGAUCAGGUCUAGGUCCCUGCACUGGCUGCUUUCCAGGUCCCCUAGCGGUCAAGGUCUCUCCAGUAGCUGCUGUGCAGGUCCCAACACCGUAUGCCGUCAAGGUCCCUCCUUAAGCUGAAAUCCAGGUUCCUCAUUCCACUGCGGUUCAGGUACCUCCAACAGCUGAGAUCCAGGUCUCUGCAGCAGCUGCGGUCUAAAUACUCCACCCGCAGUGGUCCAUUGCGGUCAAACUUUUGCUUUAAAAUCUUCCAUAAAUGUCUAUUAUUUUAUAAUGUAUUGUAAAAAUAAUCUGUUAGUAUUAAUUUGCGGUGUACUAUUUUUGUCAUAUAAACAUAAUUUUCGUA
Dreissena polymorpha is the source of this 2150-nucleotide long non-coding RNA. RefSeq lists it as uncharacterized. The record is from RefSeq and is a predicted model, not a curated record. The transcript has 3 exons. Lineage: Eukaryota; Metazoa; Mollusca; Bivalvia; Myida; Dreissenidae.